UUGCUUCAGAAGCACAUACAGUAAAACUACAAUACUGAGAAGAUUAGCGUGGGCCCUGUGCAGGGAUGACAUGAAGAAGAAUAAAAAGGAGGAGGAUAAA
Molecule: small nuclear RNA, 100 nt
Organism: Callithrix jacchus (white-tufted-ear marmoset)
Lineage: Eukaryota; Metazoa; Chordata; Mammalia; Primates; Cebidae
Source: Ensembl